UGGGGAGUAGUUCAGCCGGCAGAACACCAGAUUUUGGAUCUGGGUGUCGCAGGUUCGAGUCCUGCCUCCCCAG
Molecule: transfer RNA, 73 nt
Filed under: Hydrogenothermus marinus
Lineage: Bacteria; Pseudomonadati; Aquificota; Aquificia; Aquificales; Hydrogenothermaceae
Rfam family: tRNA
About the family: Transfer RNA (tRNA) molecules are approximately 80 nucleotides in length. Their secondary structure includes four short double-helical elements and three loops (D, anti-codon, and T loops). Further hydrogen bonds mediate the characteristic L-shaped molecular structure. tRNAs have two regions of fundamental functional importance: the anti-codon, which is responsible for specific mRNA codon recognition, and the 3' end, to which the tRNAs corresponding amino acid is attached (by aminoacyl-tRNA synthetases). tRNAs cope with the degeneracy of the genetic code in two manners: having more than one tRNA (with a specific anti-codon) for a particular amino acid; and 'wobble' base-pairing, i.e. permitting non-standard base-pairing at the 3rd anti-codon position.
Source: Rfam by way of RNAcentral